RNAcentral lists this ribosomal RNA (266 nucleotides) under uncultured archaeon. RNAcentral describes it as "partial 16S ribosomal RNA". It matches the Rfam family "Archaeal small subunit ribosomal RNA", at positions 717 to 982 of the family's 1478-position model. The record is from RNAcentral.
ACACCGACUACAUUAGAUACCCCCGUAGUCCCAGCCGUAAACGAUGCGCGUUAGGUGUAUCGACGACCACGAGUCGUCGAGGUGCCGAAGGGAAACCGUGAAACGUGCCGCCUGGGAAGUACGGUCGCAAGGCUGAAACUUAAAGGAAUUGGCGGGGGAGCACCACAACAGGUGGAGCCUGCGGUUUAAUUGGACUCAACGCCGGAAAUCUCACCGGAUAAGACAGCAGAAUGAUUGCCGGGCUGAAGACUCUGCAUGACUAGCUG